This 1611-nucleotide long non-coding RNA is filed under the name Marmota monax (woodchuck). The record is from RNAcentral. Lineage: Eukaryota; Metazoa; Chordata; Mammalia; Rodentia; Sciuridae.
CAACAUCUUUGUUUGUAUGUGGUGCUGAGGAUUGAACCCGGGCCGCACGCAUGCCAGGCGAGCGCACUACCACUUGAGCCACAUCCCCAGCCCUAAUAUCAAGAUUUCUUGGAGAGCCCAGUUAGGUGGCACAUGCUUAUAAUCCCAGAAACUCAGGAGGCUGAGGCAGGAGGAUUGCACAGUCAAGGUCAGCCUCAGCAAUUUAGCAAGGCCCUAAGCAACUUAGGGAGACCCUGUCUCAAAAAAAAAAUUUAUCCAUGUCACUUAUCAUUACUUCUUUUUUCAUUGCUCAAUAGUAUUUCAUUUUAUGAAUAUACCACAAUUUGUCCAUUCUUCUGUUUAUAGAUAUUUGACUUAUUUCCAGUUUUUGGCUAUUAUGAAUACAAUGCUAAGAGCGGUCCUAUACAAACCUUUUUGCAAAUCUUUGGUUUCAUUUUCCUCUUUCUUUCUUUUCUGUUCUUUUGUUUGUUUGUUUGUUUACCACUGAGCUACCCCUAGUCCCUUUUUAUUUUUUAUUUUGAGACAGGGUCUUGCUAAAUUAUUGAAGCUGACUUUGAACUUGUUAUUCUCCUGCCUUAGCCCAUAGAAUUGCUGGCCAUUACCCACAGAGGUUUUUGUUUCUCUUGAAUAAAUAUCUAGGAGUUGAAUUGCUGAUGUAGGUGUAGGUUUGUGUUUAAUCUUCAAAGAAAUAACCAAAUCAAUUUCCAUAUUGGAAGUACCAUAAAAAUUACCUGAGAAUUUCAUUUGCACUACAUUUUUGCCAAUAUUUGCUAUUUUUUCCCUGUCAUUUUAGCCAUCAUAAUGGAUGUGGAAUGGUUUAAAUCUUAUCUUUCCCUAAUGACUAAUGAUGUUGAGCAACUUUUCAUUUGUAUAAUGACCAUUUGGAUAUUUUCAUUUAUGAAGUAUUGGUUUAAGUCUUUUGUCCACUUUUAUUGGUUGCUUAUCUUUUUCUUUUUGAGUUUAGAAGUUCUUAUAUUCUGAAUAUAAGUCCUUUGCUGCCGCAGUCUGGCUGGGCACAAAAUCACGAGCCACUCAAGCAGGAACAAACUUUAUUUUUGAAACUGCUGCCAAUGCCCCUUACGCUCCCGGGAAGAUUGCCGACUGACCCACGCGGACCCCAACAGGAAGUCCCUCCUUCAGAAUUCCCUCCUACCGCACUUCCCCAACCAAUGGGAACUCUCCAGGAGUCCCAUAGCAGGCCGAGGUGGACAGCAGGAGUCCAAUAUCCAUAUGAAUGCAGAUCUUAACAUAAUCAUAUCAUCUCAAUGGCUUGCUGGCGUCACCUUUCAACCAAAAAUGCCAUGCAUCAUAUUACUUGGUUGUGGCUCUUAGCACUUUGCCAUUAUAAGGUCUUGCUUAGCAUCUGAACGGUCAUCUUAAGUGACAGCUGCCAUUUUAAGGAAAAAGUUUUGCUUUCUCAGCAUUUCUGAGAAAGACUCACCAAUCCUUCAUACCAACCCAGCUCUGAUUCCUGAGUCUGCCCUAUAAAAGCCUGGGAACUCAAGCCUGUUUUGCCUCUCUCCUCUAUAGAGAGAUGGCCUUUAUUUGUCCUUUCUGGCUUACCUGUCUCUUGUUCCUCGCUUUCCCUUCAGCCAGACAUAUGGAUUGUAA